RNAcentral lists this ribosomal RNA (253 nucleotides) under uncultured bacterium. RNAcentral describes it as "partial 16S ribosomal RNA". It matches the Rfam family "Bacterial small subunit ribosomal RNA", at positions 524 to 776 of the family's 1533-position model. The record is from RNAcentral.
GACGAAGGAUGCAAGCGUUAUCCGGAUUCAUUGGGUUUAAAGGGAGCGUAGGCGGCCUGGUAAGUCAGUGGUGAAAUCUCGCAGCUUAACUGCGAAACUGCCAUUGAUACUGCUAGGCUAGAGUACAGAUGCUGUGGGCGGAAUAUGACAUGUAGUGGUGAAAUACAUAGAGAUGUCAUAGAACACCGAUUGCGAAGGCAGCUCACAAAACUGUAACUGACGCUGAGGCGCGAAAGUGUGGGGAUCAAACAGG